This is a long non-coding RNA of Gasterosteus aculeatus aculeatus (three-spined stickleback), 3080 nucleotides long. The record is from Ensembl. NCBI's taxonomy places the organism in Eukaryota, Metazoa, Chordata, Actinopteri, Perciformes, Gasterosteidae.
AGCGCCCCCAACGCCCCCAACGCUCAAAAAGAAAAAUGCUGUUCAGGCAUGAAAUCUGUGUCGGCAUUAACACGUUAACCUGCCCAGUCCUAAUAAUAAUGUAUAUCUAUCUAUUCUAUCAAUAUAUCUUCAUGUACUCUAAAGUAUAUGAAUGUAUAUUCAUAUAUAUUCAUGUAUCUUCAUAUUUUAAAAGUAUUUCCCCUACCAUUGGAAAAAGGGGUCGUCCACCUCCAAGAAAGUCUGGAAUAAAAAAGAUUUUCUAGAACUGCAGACUCCUCGCUGCGCACGGCAGCACGCUGGCACCCGCGGACACACAGCGCGUGUCUGCAAAGACUAUUUCACCGGGUGGAACAUGUUGAACUAGUGACUCUUCCUGUUGCUCUCGUGCACUUUGCUCUCAACUCUCCGUCAUUUGAUGUGUUCGACGUGCCAACAACGUCCUCACAUCCAAUCCACUCGUUUAGGGACACAGGUCCUCUGCAGGGUAAAUAUGUAGAUGGAAGUAGCCUAGCUGCUAGCUUAAAAUAGCUUGAGCUAUCAGUUAGCCUCCCGUGGAGGAAUUCCUCUGCACAGCUCUUCUGUUUGUUUUACUUCCAAUGCAAAAAAGCUCUCUGUAUCCUCAGCUAUGUUAGGGGUCAGAGGUCAACACACACCGAAAGGAAACGAAGCUGCGUUAAGUGAUUUUAACGCAUUAAUCUCCAUCACAAUAAUCUCAUAGAUUAACGCGUUAACUUUGACAGCCUUAAUAUUAAUGUAUCUUAAUUGUUUUUUCAUGGAUCUUGAUGUAUUAAUCUUAAUCUGUGUUAUUUUAUCUUAAUAUAUCUUGAUGAAUCCUAAAGUAUAUUAAUGUGCCACCUUUACAAUAUUCCAUUACAGCUCAUUUAUCUGACGCUUUUAUCCUCAUGGUUGAAGUGCAUUCAACCAUAAGGACACAAACUCAGAAGAACAAGAAACAAGAAAGUGAAAUUUCCUCAAAUAAGCAUUUACAACUUGCUGUAGAUAAGAACCAUUAUAAGUACAAUUUAAUUUGUUAAGUCUUUUUAGGCAAGGUACCUCGCAGGGGAGUGGGUGUCUCCUGCUCUGGAACACCGUCUCACAGUAGGGGCUGAUCUCCUCCUGAUCGUGUGUUGAAGCUGUUGAUCAGAGGAGUUAGUGUGGUUAUGGCAGCAUUGAUGAUGAAGAUGAUGGUGGUGAUGAAGACGAAGAUGAUGUGUCAUCUGUACUCACCUGGAGCUGAUCCGGAAGAGUUGUUACUCAAAGUGCUGCCGCUGAAAACACACAAACAAUAAAGAAAAGUUAAGUCACACUGAUCCAAAGAGAAGAUCUGCAAAUGAGAUCCUGUUAUAGGACUGCAAUAGGAAUAUUAAAGCUGUUGUUGGUGGACCCUGGUCUAGAAACAGGUGUAGAGGGACCUACCUGUUCCUCUCAGGUGUUUGUCUUGGUGGAGUGGGAGGAGCUGACUGCUGGCCGUAGUAACUCCUCCCCGCAACGGGGGCAGUAGAGCCAGGUGAAGUCCCCCAGUAGAUUUCAUUGGAGACCAUCUCCAUGCCACCACCUCGGGGUGAACCGGGGGAUUCAGAGAGCUGGCUGUCGUCAAGACUACCGGAAGAGAAAGUCACGGGAUGUGUCUGGAUCUGCUCAGUCCGUACAGGUGAAGAUGAGGAGGAUGAGGAUGAGGAUGGGGACCCCUGGAACUUGGCGGAGGAGACCCCGCGGUUCAGUCUCGGAGGAACAGGGGGCAACGACCCUCUGGCGUCUGACAGCGACAAGCUGCGACCCGGCUUCCUCCGCUCCGCCUGACUCGCGGUCGACUUGGAGGUGAAGCUGUGGUCGGAUGUGGGCGUGUCCCCUGAGGUCAUACCCUCCGACACAGAAAAAAAGAUGGAGUCCUGGGAAAGCCUUCUGGAGGGCGGCGGCGCGUCUGUCGUUGCACAGAAGUGGACGGGAGCGGUCCUCCGCCGGUUAAAGACGGUUCUAGGUUUGGGAACCGGCUUCACCAAAGGGCGGCUGCCCUCACGGCCGGUCAACAUGUCGGCCAGGUUUGGAGCCGAGCAGUUCCUGAACGCCUCAAAGUUUAUGGGUCCUGGCGACCGACCGUGAGCUCGCUGUGAGGAGGACACGUCCGACACAGACUGACAGCGGUCCCGUGGGGGAUUAGCUUUCUGAUUGGCUCUCUGGCUCUCCAUCCGCUGGAGGUGACGGACCAAUCGUAGGAUUCUCUUCCUGUGUCCAGUGGCAGUUAUUCCCAGACUGACAAACGCAUCGUUGUCCAGGUGUGUAAAGUCUCGAGCCGAGAGGAGACCGGCUCCAUGGAAGGUGUCCAGGUACCUGGAGUCAAAGACAGAAAAACUGAACUUCUAGAGGAAAAACUCUUUGCUUAAACUCAUCAUGUUGACAGUAAAUGUCCAUAAAACAUUGCAAUGUGUUCCAUGAUACGUGCUACAACUUAGCCCUCCCUACCUAUGUUGAAUGCUUCAUGCUAACAACUUAGCCCUCCCUGCCUAUGUUGAAUGCUUCAUGCUAACAACUUAGCCCUCCCUAUGUUGAAUGCUUCGUGCUAAUAACUUAGCCCACCCUGCCUAUGUAGAAUGCUUCAUGCUAACAACUUAGCCCUCCCUGCCUAUGUUGAAUGCUUCAUGCUAACAACUUAGCCCUCCCUAUGUUGAAUGCUUCAUGCUAACAACUUAGCCCUCCCUAUGUUGAAUGCUUCAUGCUAAUAACUUAGCCCACCCUGCCUAUGUAGAAUGCUUCAUGCUAACAACUUAGCCCUCCCUGCCUAUGUUGAAUGCUUCAUGCUAACAACUUAGCCCUCCCUGCCUAUGUUGAAUGCUUCAUGCUAACAACUUAGCCCUCCCUGCCUAUUGAUAGAUGGUUGAAUCAGUGACACUGUUUGCUAAUUGAACCUCUCCAGAAGAAUCGCAGCCAGAAGUAUCUCAACAGCAGUGUUUCCGUCCAGCAAGGCCAUGAUGACCAACAUGGGCUCCAGAUCUGACUCGGUCUCCUCCACGUCCAGGAAGCCUGGCGGCCAUCACUGACCUACUGCAACGAAAAGACAGCAGCGGUCCAUCUGGGGGAGAUAA